Molecule: ribosomal RNA, 2819 nt
Organism: Thermophagus xiamenensis
Lineage: Bacteria; Pseudomonadati; Bacteroidota; Bacteroidia; Marinilabiliales; Marinilabiliaceae
Rfam family: Bacterial large subunit ribosomal RNA
Source: Rfam
AGGAAAGAAGGAAAGGGCGCACGGGGGAUGCCUGGGCUCUCAGAGGCGAAGAAGGACGUGAUAAGCUGCGAAAAGUCACGGGGAGGUGCAAAUAACCCUAGAUCCGUGAAUAUCCGAAUGGGGUAACCCGCCGUACUGAAGGUACGGCAUCCUACGUAAGUAGGAGGCGAACCCGGCGAACUGAAACAUCUAAGUAGCCGGAGGAAGAGAAAACAAAAGUGAUUCCCUGAGUAGCGGCGAGCGAAAGGGGAGUAGCCCAAACCGUAAAUGUUUCGGCAUAUACGGGGUAGAAGGACCAACGUAGAGGAAGUAAACAAGAAGUGGAAUACACUGGAAAGUGUAACCAUAGAGGGUGAAAGUCCCGUACACGUAAUUGUAUACUUUUGAGUUGGGAUCCUGAGUAGGGCGGGACACGAGGAAUCCUGUCUGAACCAGCCGGGUCCAUCCGGUAAGGCUAAAUACUCCUGAGAGACCGAUAGUGAACCAGUACCGUGAGGGAAAGGUGAAAAGUACCCCUGGCAGGGGAGUGAAAAAGAACCUGAAACCGUGCGCCUACAAGCAGUCGGAGCGUGUAAAAGACAUGUGACGGCGUGCCUUUUGCAUAAUGAGCCUACGAGUUAUGGUUACCGGCGAGGUUAAGUGUUAAGAGACACGCAGCCGAAGCGAAAGCGAGUCUGAAGAGGGCGUCAGAGUCGGUAAUUAUAGACGCGAAACCAGGUGAUCUACCCAUGGUCAGGUUGAAGUCUCGGUAAAGCGAGAUGGAGGACCGAACCAGUAAACGUUGAAAAGUUUUUGGAUGAACUGUGGGUAGGGGUGAAAGGCCAAUCAAACCUGGAAAUAGCUCGUACUCCCCGAAAUGCAUUUAGGUGCAGCCUUAAGUAAAAGUUUAACACAGGUAGAGCUACUGAUAGGAGGCGAGGGUUUCACCGCCUGUCAACUCCUGACAAACUCCGAAUGGUGUUAAAUGCUACUUAGGAGUGAGGGCAUGGGUGCUAAGGUCCAUGUCCGAGAGGGAAAGAACCCGGACCACCGUCUAAGGUCCCGAAAUGCUGGCUAAGUUGAAGAAAACGCGGUAUGGUUGCAGAGACAGCUAGGAUGUUGGCUUGGAAGCAGCCAUUCAUUUAAAGAGUGCGUAACAGCUCACUAGUCGAGCGACCGUGCAUGGAUAAUAAUCGGGCAUAAAGUCAGCUACCGAAGACGUGGAAUAUCGAAAGAUAUUGGUAGGGGAGCAUUCCAACAGCGUCGAAGCAGAUUUGCGAGGGUCUGUGGAGCAGUUGGAAAAGCAAAUGUAGGCAUAAGUAACGAUAAUGGGGGCGAGAAACCCCCACGCCGAAAGACCAAGGUUUCCUGAUCAACGUUAAACGGAUCAGGGUAAGUCGGGCCCUAAGGAACACCCGAAAGGGGCAUCCGAUGGCAAGCAGGUUAAAAUUCCUGCACCCCCUAUACAAAGGAAGUGACGGGUAAGUGAGGCGUCUGAGUGCUGACGGAAAAGCACCCUGAGCCUAGGCUACGGCCGAAGCGAAGGCGCGCAGCUAACUCCAAGAAAAGCGAGUAUAGGGGCCCGUACCGCAAACGGACACACGUAGUUGGGUUGAGUAUACUAAGGCGCUCGAGAGAUACGCGGCUAAGGAACUAGGCAAAAUAGUCCUGUAACUUCGGGAGAAAGGACCCCUGUCGAGAGACAGGGCGCAGAGGAAUGGCCCAGGCGACUGUUUACCAAAAACACAGGGCUUUGCGAAAUCGCAAGAUGCAGUAUAAGGCCUGACACCUGCCCGGUGCCGGAAGGUUAAGAGGAGGUGUUAUCCCGAAAGGGAGAAGCACUGAAUUGAAGCCCCGGUAAACGGCGGCCGUAACUAUAACGGUCCUAAGGUAGCGAAAUUCCUUGUCGGGUAAGUUCCGACCUGCACGAAUGGUGUAACGAUCUGGGCACUGUCUCAGCCGCGCACUCGGUGAAAUUGUAGUACCGGUGAAGAUGCCGGUUACCCGCAACGGGACGGAAAGACCCCGUGAACCUUUACUGCAGCUUAACACUGAAUUUGGGUAUUUAAUGUGUAGGAUAGGUCGGAGACAAAGAAGCCGGGUCGCCAGGUUCGGUGGAGUCGCCGUUGAAAUACGACCCUUUAAAUGCUCGGAUUCUAAUCCCUCAGGAUAAAGGGAGACACUGUUAGGUGGGUAGUUUGACUGGGGUGGUCGCCUCCAAAAGAGUAACGGAGGCUUCCCAAGGUACCCUCAAGACGAUUGGUAAUCGUCUGGAGAGUGUAAUGGCAUAAGGGUGCUUGACUGCGAGACCAACAAGUCGACCAGGUGCGAAAGCAGGGCAUAGUGAUCCGGUGGUUCCGCAUGGAAGGGCCAUCGCUCAAAGGAUAAAAGGUACUCCGGGGAUAACAGGCUGAUCGCCGCCAAGAGCUCAUAUCGACGCGGCGGUUUGGCACCUCGAUGUCGGCUCGUCACAUCCUGGGGCUGGAGAAGGUCCCAAGGGUUGGGCUGUUCGCCCAUUAAAGUGGCACGCGAGCUGGGUUCAGAACGUCGUGAGACAGUUCGGUCCCUAUCUGUUGUGGGCGCAGGAGAUUUGCGAGAAACUGUCGUUAGUACGAGAGGACCGCGAUGGACAGACCUCUGGUGUAUCAGUUGUUCCGCCAGGAGCACCGCUGAGUAGCUAAGUCUGGAAUGGAUAAGUGCUGAAAGCAUCUAAGCACGAAGCCAGUCUCAAGAUAAGAUCUCCGCAGAGGGACGUUGGAGAUGACGACGUAGAUAGGCUGCAGGUGUAAAUACGGCAACGUAUGUAGCCGAGCAGUACUAAUUACCCGAAUCUUUCCGGA